Long non-coding RNA from Heterocephalus glaber (naked mole-rat), 6831 nucleotides. The record is from Ensembl. NCBI's taxonomy places the organism in Eukaryota, Metazoa, Chordata, Mammalia, Rodentia, Bathyergidae.
CGACACAAAGGCGGCAUGGAGAAACUUUUCAGCCCGAGCCGACGGCGGGCCGCGGGGACAGCGGCGCGGGGGCCCCGGGGCGCGCGCGGCUCAGCGGCCCGGCACGGGCGAGUGUCCCGGCCGGGCUAGCGGCCCCCUCCGGCGCCGUGGCGGGAGCCAUUUCCAAGAGUUUCCAAGAAGUGCCGGGUCCCCGGCGGCGUCCUGCGUCCGCUCCAGCCGGCCCCUCCGGCGCUCCGCCUCCCGCGCGCCGCGUUCCCUCCCGCGGCGCUCCCUGGCCGCCGUGAGCCCGCUUGGUCCCCGGCCUCGCGCCUCUUUUGUGUGGCUUCGGCGCGCCGGGCUCCGCCGGGUGGAGUGAAGCUCGGGGCGGCCGGACUGGCGGCUGUUGCUAAGAGACCGGAGCCAUGACACAGGGAGAUUGCGGCAGGAUGGCAGUCGCUACCGGCCCGGAUCGGCGGCUCGGGGGCGCCCCCGCCCGCUCCUCCGGGCCCCCCUCCGCGACCGUCCCCGCGUCUCCGCUGCUUUUCCAGCCCGCCGGCCGCCCGUCCCUUCGGAAGCCAGGCGCCUGGGAGCUGGGGCGCGAGGGCAGGCGCGGAGGCAUCGCCGCGGGGCGCAGGGCGCCCCACCUUCCCGCCCGGGUCGGCUGGUUCGUCGCUGCCCACGCUGGCAGCUCGCUGCUUUCCCCAACUACCUGUCUGCGUAGCCCGAGGGGCCCCCAGGCCCGGCCCGCCUCUCCCGGGCGUCCCCCACCGCACCCGGGAGCGCUCUCCGGGGAGCCCGGCGGUGCCCCGUGCCUCUCCCCCUGGGCCUCUCUCUGCGCUUUUGUGGCCUCCACCCCGCGACGCGACACAGCCUUGGCGGAGUCACCCCUCCCACCCGGGAGUUUGCAGUGUGGACGCCCGCCCGCGAGCGAGCACAGAUCUACAUGGGGCCUGUGUGCACCACGGCACUCAAGGCAGGGUUCCAGGACCAGCCACUGUGAUUAAACCGCCCCAUCCACAGAACAGAGGCCCAGAGCCACUCCAGGAAGCCCACUUUGGAGGGCAAAGACGCUUUCUCCAUUGAAAUUUGCAGAAUCACAACCAAGAGGAUAUUCUCCAGACCAGAGAUCUGAGGACUCCAAGAAAGCACUGCCCGGGCCGUAUCUACACGAGCAGAAAGAAGUCACCACCCCAGGUGGGGCUGAGGACACCGAAUCUCCCAUUCUUCCCCUUUUGGCCUCCUCUCUCUUCAUGUCCUGUCAGGAAAAAAUAAAAUCAUAAAAAGCAUGACAAAAGAAAACAGUACACUAAGCACACAGCUGGAGUCACCAGGGUUAACAAACUAGCGUUUUAGCAGGGCAUACAUCUACCAAACAAACUAUUUGCUGUUGUCUGAAAUGGAAGCUUACCUGGGCAUCCUGCAUUCAGGGUGUAAGACAACUAUGAUGUACCUUGGUUGCUUCACAAUUUUGUCAUGGUACUCUUAAAGGCCGAAGAGCCUGAGAAAACAGAAAAUGUGCAGUGCAGUGGUGGACUGAAGCCUCUGUAACGAUCUAGAUCUAACGUGUCCCCCAAAAGUUUCAUGUGUUUGGAAGAUGAUUGGAUCAUGGGAUGCUAUACUCCUGAGUGGAACUAUCCUUUCAUAAGUUCAGAAAUUCAUACUCUAGGAGGCGGGGCCUAGCUGGACGGGUGGAUCACCAGGGCCCCUCCCUUCUCUCUCUCUGCUUCCUGGCCAUCAUGGGCUGGGCAGCUUCCCUCUGCCAUGCCAAUCCACCAUGCCCAUUUCUGCCUUGCAGCCAGCUAGCCGUGGACUGAACCCGUGAAAACUGUGAGCCAAAUAAUCCUCUUUUCCUUUCAUUUCUGGAUGUCCCGGUGCUGGGCAAGUGACUAGUACAGCUUCAUUCAUUUUCUGGGAAUAGAAUCAGCAGGAAGAGAAGAAACUUAGCUCAGGAUGAAUGGAGCAGCCCCAGAGUGCACGUUUACUAAUGGGCCGAGUGAAGCCUUAGGGCUUUUCCUAGGUAGAGGUUACAUGGUUUUCACCUGCAGCUUUUCCCCACAGGACGCUGCUGGCUAGAGGGACAGGUGCUUGCCUCUGCCUCCAAUCCCUAGGGCCCCACAAAUGAAUCUCUGAAGAGAGAGAACUCAGCUUCACUUUCAAGAACUACGGUUUGGAAAGCAAAGAUAAAGUCAAACCAGUGUGGAGGUCAUGACCGGGCCCCUUUCUUGUGCUUAUGAGAGAUAUCCAAGAAGUUCAAACCCAAGCCCUUUCAACUCAAAGCCCAGGAUAAAGAAAUAAUACAAAGUCUAAGCGCCUUCCUUAGAGCACACCUGACAGGGUUUUCUACCUCUGUGCCAGGUAAGUGGAUGUGGCAGUGUCAGCCUCCGUUUCUGUCUCCAGUCCUGUUCAUUCUUAUUAUUACAAAUAACCCCACUCUGAAUUGCAGGCCUACCAGAAGGUUGUUUUCUCUAACAAGUGGGUUCAUUCUCUGUACAUUCAAUUUUCCCAAAUAGCCUGAAUUUUCUACUGUUUUCCAUAAACAACGUCAAAGUGGGAUUCUGUGCCUUGCAGAGUAAUUUGAGGCCUGAGAUGAAGAUCUAGAAAGGGCGGCAGGCUUGAAAGCAGAUCAAAGAUGAGCUUGGAAAGGGCUUUGCCGAGAGGGCGACCUCAGUGGAGCCGCCAGGAAGAGCCCAUAGCUAUGUUUCGCCUGUGUUCCCAAAGUGCAUCCAGUGUCCACCCUGACAUUCAUAUUGUUUUGUAUAAUCUACGGUGUGGUGGACAGAUGACUUUUCCUACUGAGAGCUCAAUAAACUAUAACUUACUUCUCUGAUCUUUCAAAAUUAAUUGUGAUGGGAGAGUGGUGUCUGAAAACGAUCAAGACGUAUGACGUAUCUCAAAUAUACACGGAUAAAAGAGAAGCAUCACUGAGAGAAGAGCUGCUUUGGGUAUGAAGCAGAAAAGAGGAGCUAGCUUUGGAAAGUAGCAGAUGACAAGAGCCCAGGAUCUUGGUACCUCCUGGGACCACAACUGAUUCACCCAAGAGCAUUUUGUUAGACACCUCUUUCAGGUGUGCACACAAAAGCCCUGUCUCCUGGUGGGUAGAGAGGGGCUGCAGCGAGAAAAUAAGUGAGAGAGUGAGAAAUGUUUCGCUCUUGCUACGUGGUAUGGAGACAUUUAAAGAGCGGCCUGGGGCUGCUCAGAAGGGGCAGUGAGAGAGAAUGAAUUAGAUUGGGCGUCCAGGGAAGGCCUCCCGAGGAGUGAUGUUCCACUGAGAGGGAGAGCUGAAAACGAACCAUUUGAAGUUGUUCGUGUGAGAAGAAAAUAGUUAAAGGACAUGGCCUUAUUAACCUAUUGUCCAGUUCGGUCUGGCAGAGAGUCAGUGACAAGUACAACACCAGAGGGGAGAAUCUUUAAGUGCUGGAGGCCUUUAGAAAACACACAUAAAACUGGGAUACGGUAACAGAACGUACUUGAUCCUAGUCUUUGCUGUCUGUGACUCAUGUGUGUGUGUGUGUGUGUGUGUGUGUGUGUGUGUGUGUGUGUAUUGGUGGGGGGGGGAACAUUUAGCUUUCAAGUAUCUUUCCAGUUGUGACCCCAGAGAUAGCUGACACCUGAGGCGAAUUCCGAAUGUGUGUGUCUUACAUGGGGAAGUUAUAGCUUCCUGGCUUUUGCAGGUCCUGCCCCGUCUAGAAAAUAGGCCUGGUGGGUGUUGGGCCUGACUUUAGCUUCUAAAGACCCUCUUUAUUCUCGGAAUAAUCCUUAGAUCCAGGCCAUUCACACUCAGGUAACCAUGCCCCUCCCAGCCUUGUUAUGUUGAGCAGGCUACUGAAGUCUGAACAUAGCUGUGGUGUCUGUAAGAAGCCCCUUAUAGCUCCCCUCUCUCAAGGUAGUUGUAAGGAGAAGAUGGGGCGAGGCGGUUGUGGCCCCGUCAUCUCUGCAGAGCGCCCCUAGUUGAAUAGAUGGAAGGCAGAGCUGCAUACUUGCUGCACAUACUCCCCUCCGUGUGCAUCACUGCCCCUACACCUACUCCGUAAAUCAUGCAGCCACCACCAGACUCAGCUUGGGAUGUGGGCCCUGAGGUCUGCAGCUUUCUCUUUCAGAUGUUAGCGGUCAUGGUGGUGAUGGUGAGGACCUCAGGAGCGCUUGUUUCCUGUCUCGCCCCUCCCUGGUCCUGGAGAUGCAGUGCUGUUGACAGCAAUGCCAUGCCAUGUCCUGACCUUGUGGCGAGAGGAAAAGGAAGCAGGACAGCCUGAGCCCCCAGCAUUCACGGGUCUGGAGAAGUGCUAGAAGGAUUUCCAUUCGGUGCUCUGUGUGCAAGGCGUGGGAAGACCUUGGUGCUGCGGGCUGACAUGCCAGGACCCCUGACCUGUGUCCGGCUUUGGUGACAGCUGAAGGAGUGACAUGAUCAAGACCUAGCCCGGCGUGGCUGCCAACCUACGCGCCCUGGGAGAACAUAAGGAAGACAUCUCCGGUGUCACAAAUGCACCGGACUGACCCUAAAGCAAACUUGGAAUCGAAGGAGAACAAUUUGAAGAGACUCUUUGCCUCAGGAGAAGACCCAUGAAAGAGGAGUGGCCCAGGUGGCAGGAGACCCACAGAGUGUGCAGGAGGCUGAAGCAGCCUGGCCCAGCACCUUGUCCUCUGCAGAGGCCCCUGUCACUCACCAAGUCCAGCACCACACCUAGGUCACCCUGAGCACCAAGCCAGUGUGGGCAGUCGAGGGACAUCCCUGGGCAGCUUUCCUGUCACCCUGGACUGUGCUGGUCAUCAGCUGGGCACUCUGUUCCCUGUGGUGUGAGGAUUUGGUCCACACCGUCCACACACUGCCCAUCCUCCCUGGUCACUGCAGAUGCAGGCGGUGACCCUACUGGGUGAGGCUGGCAGUGCAGUGCAAGGCGACUGCCCUCAGGGAGGUCUGCUAGCACCAAACAGAGCCAGAUCAUUAGGAAAACACUGAAGUGCAAAAGGGGAGAAGGGCAGGUUUGGCCAGUGCCAUUUUCACCACUGUUGGCUGCUUCUCUACUAGUAGAGUAGCUGGCUGUGUGGCUUCAAUGUCAAGAUUACUGAGUUCAAAGCCUGUGUCUCCCUGUGUGGCCCUUGCACAGGUGACCCCAGCUAUGGGUGCCAAGCUCUGUGGCUGUGAAAGGAGGGCCCACUUCGCAGCAUGCCACCAGAGUGCACACGAGGGAAAGGGCUGCUGUGUUCUCAUUGCUGUCUCUGUCAUUCCUGUAAGGGACAUGGAGAGCCUGCUUCACACUUGGUCCUGAGACUCUCGGGGAAGGCAGAAGACCCUGCAGAACUUCAGGGUGCAGCUCUGUUUUCUGGCUCUGCUCUCUCAGCAGGGAUAAACCUUUCCGCAGAACUCUCCCUGCUGCCAUAAAAUGCCCUCUCUGCAGACUGGGACAUCCCCAGAUGCCAGGCAGACGGUGGCUCCGUGCCCUGUGCCCUCAACGCUCUGGUGGCGCCAAGGAGUUCUGCGUUCAGGUAGAAGGAACAGGAGACACUGUCAGCUUCCAGUCUGCAGGAGAGAGACCGGGAGGAGAGGGGAGAGGGAGAGGCAGUCCUGCCCCCAUCCCACCUCUCUCCCCAUGGCCUCUCACUGCUGCCUUCCACCUUGCAGUACCUGACCUGCUGAGUGAGCUCAGCCCCUGCCACAUUAGUUACACAAGCGUUUCCCGAGAGACAAGCUGAAGCUGUCCUGCUCACCUGCUCCUCUGAGCGCAUCCUGGAGGCUGUGAGAUAGGCCGCAUGCAGAGAGAAAGCAUUGUUCUGCAACCUGCUCUCUCCUCAGGGGUGAGAAGGAAGCAGGGGAAAAAGAAAAAGAGGAAUUAUUGACCCCUUUGUUUUCUCUUUGAAAAAUGUAAUGGAGCUCUGAAGCCAGUUCAAGUGAUGCGGGGACAAAUUUUGAAUAAAGGGUGAUCUUGACUUGACACUCACUCCCUGGUGUCCUUCCUGGGAGUCAGGCUUUCAGGACCACAGGUCGCAUCUGCAGGGGUUGAUCUGCAGGUUUUGCAUUUCUAGGGUGACACUGGGACGUUUCUCACUGCCGGGGCACCAGACAACACUGUGAUAGCAGAAGUGAGCUGCAUCUGUCCUGUCCAUGCAGAGCCCCAGCCACGCCUGGCUGUGCCCCGGCAGCUGAGUGACUUCACCUCAGAUUUCCCUAAGGUGCUUAAAUUUAAGUGGGUGAAUGUGAUUAGUGUAUGGGGUACAGGUUAGUGCUCAAAACACUAUCACAGCAGCACUAGGACCAGCCACAACAUACUAGACUGUGUCACCCAGCCACAAGAAGGAAGAGGGUGACCGGCAAGACCUUCCUGUCCCCAGUGGGAACUUCUGCUCCUGGCUGUGCCCGGUCACCACCUUUGGCUCCACCGGCCAGCUGAGGGACUGCAGCCUGCUCUCUCCAGGGAGAAUGAGGUUGAGAUGACAGAAGAACACGCAUCACCUCCUGGGCUAGGUACUGUUCCCACUCGGAAGCUCUCCCUUCCGGUACGGACUCAGCGAGAGGGUGACCUGGAGCGCUAAGCGGAGGGGUAGAUGGGAGCUGGUGUUGGGGUGCUGGGGUGUUGGUGAGGUCAAGAGGCUGGAAAGCAGUGCAGAAUCUGCAGCUGGGUGGCCACAUCCUGGUUCAGGAUUUGGGGACACAGGCUCAGGAGUUGAUGUGAGUUCCCAAUCCAAGAGAGAGGGAGGCCCCAGAGCCAUGUGGGAGCAGACCACGAGCAUGAGAGGACCAGGAGGGACCUCUGUCCCAGGCCAGGAAUGGGGGAGAAAAAGGAGAGAACAGGUGGUGGGGCCUGGCUCCUGGGCUGGGUGCAUGCAUUCCAUCUCUUGGGUCCCAGGACAGCAGGGCAC